RNAcentral lists this ribosomal RNA (274 nucleotides) under uncultured bacterium. Its description in RNAcentral is "partial 16S ribosomal RNA". It matches the Rfam family "Bacterial small subunit ribosomal RNA", at positions 524 to 796 of the family's 1533-position model. The record is from RNAcentral.
UACGUAGGGGGCGAGCGUUGUCCGAAUUUACUGGGCGUAAAGCGCGCGUAGGCGGUUUCUUAAGUCUGGGGUGAAAGGUUCAACGCUCAACGUGAACAGUGCCUUGGAUACUGGGAGACUUGAGUCUGGGAGGGGGCAGUGGAAUUCCUGGUGUAGCGGUGAAAUGCGUAGAUAUCAGGAGGAACACCGGUGGCGAAGGCGGCUGCCUGGCCUAAGACUGACGCUGAGGUGCGAAAGCGUGGGUAGCGAACGGGAUUAGAAACCCUCGUAGUCC